This is a long non-coding RNA of Bos taurus (domestic cattle), 1983 nucleotides long. The record is from Ensembl. NCBI's taxonomy places the organism in Eukaryota, Metazoa, Chordata, Mammalia, Artiodactyla, Bovidae.
GGAACUUGGAGUCAGCUGUGUCUAAUUCGCGCUGAGACUGCGCAACACUGCGGUUAAGACGAUAGGACCCCCAACCCUCCAACUGGGCAUGCGCGAACGCCCACUCUCAGCGACCUUCCGACGUCACAGAGCCGGAAGUUCCCCUUGCAGUUCGUGCUCUGCGCCUCCGGGUUUUGAACGUGCAGAGGCCUGUGGCUUAGUCACAGCUGCACAGAGGAUGUCUGUGAACCGUCAUCCAUCACCCCUCCCAGGGAUCCUCCUGCUCCCCAAGCCCCAGACCACCCUGCCUCUUCAGUUUCUUAUCCCAUAAACACCCCAAGCUCCUUGCCUUCUGGGAGAUGGAUCUGACAUGUCUCUUCACUUGGUUGCCUUUCAAAUAAAUCAUCUCUCUGCUGUGUUACUGUGUCUCAUCAUUUUAACCUGCCGUCCAUCAGACAGAACAUAUCUGGUUUGGCAACAGGAGUGUGGUAGAGAUGAACUGGUGUAUCACUUACUGUUCAUUUAGCAUCAUGUCAUGAUUAAUUGAUCGUCUACGACAUGCCAGGACCUAUGCCUGCUGUUGAGGAUGAAACUAAAUAUGCUCCUCACAGAAUUUGCACGUUAGUGGGAGAACAAGAGCCAUUCAAAAACCGCAGGACCUCGUUGUGAUCCGUGCAGAGAAUCAAACAGGUGCUGAGGGGCAAGGCGGUGGAAAGAGAAGCGGCUUCGAUGACAAUACAGCUAACACUUGAGGAUGUGAAAAGCUGCCUCAAGAGCAGAGAUAAGGAAGAGGCUGCCCAGCGACUGGGGAAUUCUCGACCCGGAAGUAGAUGCCUCGGCCAGGUGCUCUUGCCUGAGAGGUCUCGCAACAGGAAAGGCUGAUGAGGGAUACGGUCCUGCCCCGAGAAGUCAGCCUACAGACUUUGGGAGGGGCCCAAACAGGGCGAAGUCAUCAGCCCUCCGGAGACCUUCUCAUUGGAAUCCAUGAGAUGGAGAAGGCACUGGCACCCCUCUCCAGUACUCUUGCCUGGAAAAUUGUAUGGACAGAGGAGCCUGGUGGGCUGCAGUCCAUGGGGUCGCUGAGGGUCGGACACGACUGAGCGACUUCACGUUCACUUUUCACUUUCAUGCACUGGAGAAGGAAAUGGCAACCCACUCCAGUGUUCUUGCCUGGAGAAUCCCAGGGACGGGGGAGCCUGGUGGGCUGCCAUCUGUGGGGUCGCACAGAGUCAGACACGACUGACGCGACUUAUAAGCAGCAAACAGAAGUCAUCAGCCUUCCAGCGUCCUUCUCACUGGAAUCCAUGAGAAGGAUGAACAACACACCUGCCGCCAAGAAGGACGCUGAGGCAGAACGAUUGGCCAAAGACAACCGGAAGCUGCCCCCACUCCCGUAAAACCCCUGCCUGCAAGCCCCAGGGCAGAGCAGUUCUCCUGGUUCUCUCACCCUGCCAUUCUCCACCCGCGUGCCCCUUUCCAGUAAAAUCUUUUGCAUGGUCAGUGCGUGUGUCUCCUUGGAAAAUGCACUUCUGAGCGUUAGACAGGAGCCCACUGUCAGGCCCUGGUGGGGGUCCCCCUUCCUGCAAUACAAGGACUAGGGUCAAGCCUCCUUUCUCAGAAAUAAACUGCAUACCAACCAGCGUGUAUUUCAGGUGGAAACUCAGGUGCUAUUAAUGUUCAGCUGAAUACUUGAGACACUUGGCAGCGUUCUUUAUGCGAAAAUACCUAAGAAGUAUUUUAACUUUAAAAGUCUUAAGGUAUAUUGGGUCAUGCUCAUGCAUGCUAAGUGACUUCAGUUGUGUCUGACUCUCCAUGACCCCAUGGACUGUAGCCCACCAGGCUCCUCUGAUCAUGGGAUUCUCCAGGCAAGAAUACUGCAGGGGGUUGCCAUGCCCUCCUCCGGGGCUAGUCCCUACCCAGGGUCAAGCCCAGGUCUCUUACGUCUUCUGUGUUGGCAAGCAUGUUCUUUACCGCUAGCCCCGCCCUGGGAAGCCCAUACUGGAU